Molecule: long non-coding RNA, 4084 nt
Organism: Bombus pyrosoma
Lineage: Eukaryota; Metazoa; Arthropoda; Insecta; Hymenoptera; Apidae
Exons: 4
Source: RefSeq, a predicted model, not a curated record
AUCAAUAAUCAAAGAUAUACUAUUAUUUACGCAUGUUUAAGCCACAAUGUGUGCCUGUCCAUGCCAUAUUACAAGCAUAUUACAUAUUAUUGCAAAUCACAUUCUUGCAACAUAAAACUCUUUGUGCGGCUCGAGUUUCAACAGCUUGUAUGCUACUGCUGCACUGAAUCAGUAUUUAUUUAUAAAUCUGCCAAAAGCUUGCCAAAACUGGGGUAGAUGGAUCCAUGAUCACACGCGUAACAACGAGCAACCGUGCACAACGCAUUUUAAAUUCCUUUUUUACUCUUUUCACAGAGGGAGAUAGAGCACAGAAGAAAGUCAAGAUUACAGUACAAUAGUAACGGAAUUCUCUGAAUAACAGCAAAUAAAAAAUACAGCCAGUGGAAACCUUUCACCGGAUUGGUGAACGCUCAAGGUUGCCACUGACGCCGAAAGUCUUAAGAUAUUUUUUGCACACGCACGACGCGUGCUCUUGUGAAACGGCAUUAAGAGACCUUCAAACCAUGCAUGUAGCUCGCCAUACAUGUGUGGCCGUGACCUCAUGCGACUUAAUGACCGAACAGUAAUACAAUUUUCACUAUCAUACACCCAAAAAUGGCGCUACUUCACUUCUACACACGAAACAAUUUUUUAUGAAGUGAAAUAAGUAAUAAAAAUAUCAAUGAAAGAGAAAUAAUCUUAUACUGAGUUAGUAUUUCACGUUUAAUUCCACUCUAUAAUAUUAAUCUAGAUAUCUAGUAAAAAAUAGAGUCAUCCAUAAAUGAAGUAGUGGCGACACACCCAAUAAUUUCCUCCGUUGUUAUGUCUAUUUCUAAAAGCCCAAAUGUGCAUUUUUCUUUCUCUGCUACUGCCUCUAACCAAUACUAGACUUUUUUCAAUUUUGCUUACGAAAUAGUCUCAACGAACAAAUAUCUUUAAAAAUUAAUCAAAAUUUUUCUGCUCAUGCGGUAUAAGGAAUACUUAAGAGGUUACUUUAGAAUGAUUUACUUUACGUUAUUCUUAUUAAACAUAAUGAAAUUAUUCACGUGCGGUAAAAAAAUAUCUGAAAAACAGAAAGAAAAUGAACAAAUUCAAAAAUUUAAUGAUUUCAGUUAUCAUACAUAGAAACUGAUGAUCAAAUAUGGAGUAGUUCUCUUUUGUAACGGCUCACAAAAUGGCUACGCAAGCUGAUACGUAGAAACAUAAAACUACUGUUAAUAAUACUGUGUAGAAAAUACUUGUAUUCUGUAAAAUAAGCAUUAUAUAUUAAUCAAUUUUUAAUAUAUGCAAGCCUAUAAAUUUAAAUAACGGAUAAAAAGCAAAAUGCUUGAAUAUUAAAUCAUUUCAGAAACACGUGUUUAAAGUGUAACGGAUUCCAAAUUACAGGGAUUUUCAUAAAAAUAAAUAUACAACUUGGGAGAAAACUACGAAAAACGUUAAACCAAUUACAAAUAUGUAAGUAUAAAAAAGUAUUAGAUGUUAUAAUGGAGCUCACAUUUGAGAAAGUUUGUGAAUACAAGAUGUCGGAACCACGUUGCGAAAAGCAGAUAUUCCUCUGCCGUGGUCGUUGCAUCCGCUUGAUCACUUUGUCACAGUAACAAUAAUUUAAAAUAAAAAAGUAAAAAAAGAAUGCAAUAAGACCUGUAUCCUUUAAAGCCAGUACACAUAAGGACUUUCAGAUAGAGACGCGUAGAUUUUUAUAAGGAAAAGAGAAACGAUGCGUGUAAAGGGCGCUCGUUACAAUUAAAUAAAGGAUUACGUGUAUAAAUUCUACAGAAUAUCGCAAGAUAAAAAAGAAACCUUAUAUAGGAACGGAAUAUAGUAAAGACGCAAAUACAUUAAGCGUAUUCGUUACGUUAUGAAGUAUGCAAGCUCAAAGAUGAGUAACCUUUUAAGUAGUAUGAAUGUAAAUAUAGAAUUAUGUAUAACUACGAAUAUACAAUUAUUAAUUAAAAAAGGAAAAAAUUAUAAAAGGAAAAGGGAAAUGGGAAAAACGGAGUAAAAAACACAGCUGGCUAGCACAGCACGUGCUGGCUACUGGAGGAACCUCCGUUGUUCAACGAGGAAACAAGUCGGGAACCUCCCUCCAGCAACACAAUCGCCGAUGUUCGUGUACCUUCGGUACAUUUCGCGCCUUUUCGUCGUAUGAUGUCACAGUUUGGUUCGAAGCUCCCUUCGGAGUUUUAUAUAUACCUUGCAUUUCAAUCAUUGAAAAAAGAUCCGUUCACAUUAGAAACAAGUAUUCCAAUAAAUUACAUGAUGUAUGCUACACUUUGCUUAUAAUAUUCUCAAAUUUUUAAAAAUUACUAGGAAUAAUUAAAUUUGUAACUUGUAUAAUGCAAUUUUGUUGAAACGAUUGAAUUUAAUUUAGUGCGAUUAAGAAUAAAAAUUUUAAUCUCAUGGACAAUGUAUUUAUCGUCACUAUAGUCCUUUCAUUCCAUGUAUUUAAAACGUAUUUUUCCCCAAGAAAUAAGAAUUCACGUAAUAAAAUUAAGGUUUGACAAAUACACGGAAAACUACUUUGCUCGAUUUUCCUCCAUACAAGUAACGAAAACUUAACCUUCUUUUUGUUCCCAUUUUUAAAAAAUAUCUAUAAUAGAAUUUGAAUAGAAUUAAUUUGACAUCCCUGUACUUUUAUUUCACUUUGCAAUAUAAAUUAAUGUUUUAUAAUAGAACUACUUUAAAAAUUAAUAGUUUCCACUUAGAUCAUUACUACGAUCUAAAUAUUUUUGUAUUUAAGAAUUUUUUGUCUUACAACACUAUUCGAUUGUUUCAAUUAUAAAUUUGAGAUGUAUGCUUUAAAUAAUAUGUCUUCACUUGCUUGAAUGUUCGAAUAUCUUUCAACUUCAAUAAUGUUAUUACUUAAAUGUUCCAUAUUAAAUUUCAUGAAAAAGUAUCAUCUUGCAUAAUCUAUUUUGAGAAACGUUUAAUGCAUCGUUUAAUGCAAACUUCUUCGUAUACGUGUAAAAAUAAUCUAUGUAUAUUGAAUGUAUAUUAAAUGCUUUAAUGUAUAUUGAAAUGAAUACGAAAUUAAUGUAUUUAAAAUAAAAUUUGCGUCACAAUUGCGAAGUUUAAGUUGGAUGCAAGCAGAAGGAAUUAUAAAACUUUUAGGUUUGAAUCAAAGUAAAUCGUAUUGUAAUAUCACAGUAAUAUCCAACAACCCUUCUUUUUAAAGAUAUUUUUAAAUAACAUAACCACACGACAUUUCAAUCAUAGGUGCUUUACAUUUUGUAAAAAAGAAUGAAAAGUUUCAAAAUAUUCAAAUCUAUUUCCAUGUGUGUAACUGAAGAGAUACGUUUCCUUUACAUAUGUGAUGCAUACAUUUUUAAGCAUGCCUAUUUGAAAAUAUCUUCGCGGGUAAGCACACUAUAUACUAUGAUUUAACAUUAACAUUAACCGAAUUACUAGUUCAUAGCAAUUAACAUGUAAACUUAUGGACAAUGAUGAUUAUUGAAGCUAUCACAGAAGCAAAGUUCAAAUUACAGUGAUAUGAGAAAAACGGAGAAAAACUAUGUAGAUAUAUCGGAAAUCUUAAUCUAUAACUCUAAUUUGUAUAUGUAUAUGAAAAUAUUGUAUUCUUUCGAAAAAUCAUUAUUGCAAUAUAUGAGUGUAGGAUACAUACAAAAUGAUUAACGAUCACGAGCAUAACUAUCAAUAAUAUUGUAAAUCAAAUAAGAAAUGUCUAUACAAAAACAUAAACCAAUUAUUUGUAAGAAAAAUGUAAACCAAGCAAUAAUGUAUAUAUUCAUAUUUUGAAUAAAAAAGAGAAAAAUAAAGAAAUAUUUUCCGUAAAAUAUUAGCUAAUAUACCUCAUAUAAAUUAAAAAAUAGCAAUAUAAAAUCAUAAAAAAUUUACAUUUUUUUAACUUUUUAUCUUACAUAGACUGCAUUACAUUAUCUGUAUUUUAAAUGCCUUUUUUAUAUAAUAUUGCUCAAAUAUCAACCAAAAAAUUUAAAUAUAAUAAUAAAUAUAAUAUAAUAUCCCUUACUUGAGCCUUAUUAUUGCAAUAUCAUAUAUUACUCUAACUACAUUAUCAUGAAUUAUGUAUUACGAUAGCAAACAGAAAAAUAACUGAUAAAACAAAUGAAAACUUAGAAUUUUGCAA